GCUCCGCUGGAGGAAGCGGAUAACUCACCUGACUCUCAAUCAGGAGAUUGCCGGUUCGAACCCGGCGCGGAGCA
RNAcentral lists this transfer RNA (74 nucleotides) under Actinomycetota bacterium. RNAcentral's name for it is "Actinobacteria bacterium tRNA-Glu". It matches the Rfam family "tRNA". Rfam says of the family: Transfer RNA (tRNA) molecules are approximately 80 nucleotides in length. Their secondary structure includes four short double-helical elements and three loops (D, anti-codon, and T loops). Lineage: Bacteria; Bacillati; Actinomycetota. The record is from RNAcentral.